Molecule: long non-coding RNA, 497 nt
Filed under: Physcomitrium patens
Lineage: Eukaryota; Viridiplantae; Streptophyta; Bryopsida; Funariales; Funariaceae
Description: long non-coding RNA (PPAT_LNC000669)
Source: RNAcentral
GCCAACAUGUAUAAUAUUUAGUCAAUUUAUUGGCCAAGUUUUAAUCUAUCAAUCACCUAUAAUCAUAUUGUCAUGGUAGAAAGAAUUUGCCUUAAGAAAACACUGGGCUUUUGGUUAUCACUAAAUGCUCAACUAAGCCUCUAGAUAAAAAAAAAUACCAAGUCUAUAUAUAAAAUUAUCUCUAUAGGAACAAUUACAUCAAUACAUGAGUCUUAAGUACCAAAGAUCACCAAAAAUGAGAUAAAAAUAUUUUAAAAAACUUGUAUAUCCUUAAGAUAAAUUCUUCUCAAACUUCAACAGCUCAUGUUUUAUGAUCAAAUCACCCAAAUAAAUCCAAAUUUUACAUGAAGUACUGAUGUACUUUUAACAAUGCCUCUGAAUUAUAUGUGUUGUCUUUAAUGCUCUAUAACUUCUUUAUACAAACUUCAAAUACAAAAAUUCCUUCACAAAAGAUAUAGAUCUUAAAAUCAUCCUUGUAGCUACAUCUCUUGAUUUCU